AUUGAACGCUGGCGGCAUGCCUUACACAUGCAAGUCGAACGGCAGCACGGGUGCUUGCACCUGGUGGCGAGUGGCGAACGGGUGAGUAAUACAUCGGAACGUACCUUAUCGUGGGGGAUAACGCAGCGAAAGUAGCGCUAAUACCGCAUACGCCCUGAGGGGGAAAGCGGGGGACCGUAAGGCCUCGCGCGAUUAGAGCGGCCGAUGUCUGAUUAGCUUGUUGGUGAGGUAAAAGCUCACCAAGGCGAUGAUCAGUAGCUGGUCUGAGAGGACAAUCAGCCACACUGGGACUGAGACACGGCCCAGACUCCUACGGGAGGCAGCAGUGGGGAAGUUUGGACAAUGGGGGCAACCCUGAUCCAGCAAUGCCGCGUGAGUGAAGAAGGCCUUCGGGUUGUAAAGCUCUUUUGUCAGGGAAGAAACAGCAGCUCUAACACAGUCUGCGAAUGACGGUACCGGCAUAAGAAGCACCGGCUAACUACGUGCCAGCAGCCGCCGUAA
This 501-nucleotide ribosomal RNA is filed under the name uncultured bacterium. RNAcentral's name for it is "partial 16S ribosomal RNA". It matches the Rfam family "Bacterial small subunit ribosomal RNA", at positions 30 to 523 of the family's 1533-position model. The record is from RNAcentral.